ACCAUAUUCUAUAUUUGUAUUAAUGUAUGCUAAACUCUUUUUAAUGGUAAAUGAGCAUCGUUCAAUUAUUUUUAUCAAUUAAUUUAGUAAAACUUCAUAAUACUCCCUAAAUCGAUGGAAUAACCACUAUAAAAUUAUUAUUUUCUUGAUAAACGGAGAUGACAAAGACUCCAAACCUCUUUGAACAUCAUCAUAUGUUAGUGAAGGAUGCCACUAGGUAUUAAAACAAUAUUUUCAUAUUUUUUGAAAUUUUCUCAAAAUCUAUGGGCUAACCCCUACAAAAAUAUUGAGUUUUUGGUAAAUUCUUUAUAUACUGAAGCUCAUAAUCUUUAGUGAUGUUUUAAAAUUUCUACCAUAUUAUACACUUGUAUUAAUGUAUGCUAAACUUUUUUCAUGUUAAAUGAGCAUCGUUCAAUUGUUUUUAUCAAUUAAUUUAGGAAAAUUGCAUAAUACUCCCUAAAUCGAUGGAAUAACCACUAUAAAAUUAUUACUUUCUUGAUAAACGGAGACGAAAAAGACUUCAAACCUCUUUGAACAUCAUCAUAUGUUAGUGAAGGAUGCAACCAAGCAUUAAAACAAUAUUGUCAUAUUUUUUGAAAUUUUUUCAAAAUCUUUGGGCUAACCCGUACAAAAAUAUUGAGUUUUUGGUAAAUACUUUAUAUACUAAAGCCUAUAAUCUUUAGUGUUGUUUUAAAAUUUCUAACCAUAUUCUAAAUUUGUAUUAAUGUUUAGUAAAUUCAUUUUCAUGGUAAAUGAGCAUUGUUCAAUUGUUUUUAUCAAUUAAUUUAGUAAAACUUCAUAACACUCCCUAAAUUGAUGGAUAACCACUAUAAAAUUAUUAUUUUCUUGACAAACGGAGACGACAAAGGCUUCAAACCUCUUUGAACAUCAUCAUAUGUUAGUGCAGGAUGCAACUAGGCAUUAAAAAAAUAUUAUCAUAUUUUUUGAAUUUUUCUCAAAAUCUAUGGGAUAACCCCUUCAAAAAUAUUGAGUUUUUGGUAAAUACUUUAUAUACUAAAGCCUAUAAUCUUUAGUGUUGUUUUAAAA
RNAcentral lists this long non-coding RNA (1047 nucleotides) under Brassica napus (rape). RNAcentral's name for it is "long non-coding RNA (BNAP_LNC026403)". The record is from RNAcentral. Lineage: Eukaryota; Viridiplantae; Streptophyta; Magnoliopsida; Brassicales; Brassicaceae.